GCCCCUUAAAAUAAUACUUUAGUCUCAUAUUUUUAGUUUCUACUUCAGAACCUGCCUCGAGCUAAAACUGUAUUGUUGUGGUUGAAAUUUAUUUUCAACUCAAUUAUUGGAUUCAUUCAUGGGAUAAUUAGAAGCCCCAUAGACAGUUGCUCAAGUUAGUUUAAACUCACCAUUGGAAGAUCCCAGAAUUGUCAAGGUUGUACUUCUGAAAAAAUGAUGAAAACUAUAGGUAAAUGGCUGGAGAGCAAGCAAAUUGAACAGCAGAUAAAAGAGAAUGUCUUCAAUCUUAUGGCGUAUUAAGUAUUGGGUCAGCAGAAGAAAGUGGUUGAAACAAUUAUCAUGAAGUCACCAAGUUUGGCAGAUUUGAGAGAUCACAUGUUUAAAGAGAGAUUUUUGUUCUGUUUUCUCACCUCAGGGCCCUUGUGAAUUGAUGAAUAUGAAGACACUAAGAAAGCAGAAAUAGAACUGAGAAGAAUGAAAUAACUGUCUCUACCUUUCUCGAAUUGUCUAAUAUGGAAAGAAUGAAAGACAGCUAAUAAGCAACUCUCUGCAAGAAGACAUAUGGCUUAGAAUCUACUUGGAGAGAGUCAAACACAGAAUCCCUUUGAAUUUAAUGGCCAUUCCAGGUGAUUUGAACAGCCAAAUAAGAAACAGGUCCUCUUCAAUGUACAAUCUGCCAAGUAUGAAGUCUGAAUGACCAUCAUUAUUAUGUAUUUAAUGUGCAUAGAAAAUCUAUCUGCAACCUUCCAGAGUGUACCAGAAGUUUGGAAUGUACAUUAUUAUUGGCUCCAUCUCAAACCACUCAUAAAUCAAAGAAAAUAGCAGUUCCAGAGGAAUCAUCAUAGAGGCUUCUAGGCCCCCAUGCUGUGUGAACCUGGUGAGAAAGGGAAGUCUGCUCUCACUGGACACUGGAACUGUUUGUCUCUGUCUCUGCUGUACUUUCCCUGCCUCUACCUCACUUAGUAAAGAAAUCAUCUUUGCUUGAUAACUAAAACAACCAAUAAGGCUGAGAAAGGGGAAAACCCACAUCUGGAUUUAAAUACAAGGUAUUGGGCCAGCUGCUGGGGAUUAAACUUUGAACAAAACAGAUAGAAUCUAUGUCCUCAUGGGAGUGGCUAAUGGGAGAGUCGGAACAAAAAAAUAGCCAAGGAUAAUCCAGCAAAUGAUUUGGUGAAUGCUAUCAAAGAGAGAAAUACACAUGCUCUGGGAACACCAAGUAGGUACCUAAUACCUAACCUGUACCUGGGGGGCUGGAAAGGGCUUCUUGGAAGAGGCAGAGACUAAAAUGAAGAAUAAGCAUAAGUUAAGACAAAGCUGGGGUGGGGUCAGAAAGAGUGUGAUAGGCCAACGCAGCAACAUGAGCCAAGACUCAAAAAUAAGAGACAGUGUGGCACAUUUGAUGUAGGAAAGACAUUUAGCUGGGAUAGAAAGAAGGCUAGUGUUGGGGCUGAAUGAGGUUGCAUAAAAGUUUGUAAGCCAAGUUAAGGAAUUGAUCAAAUUUAUAUUUUAGAAUGAUCACUCUGACCUCAGCAUUACAUGACCUGAAGGGGUUAAGCCCAUACAUCUGUAGAGAGACCCGUUAGAAUAGGACUGCAGUAAUAUGGUGAGAGACACUGGUGCCUAACUAGGCUGGUGAUCAUAGAGAUAAAGGGAUAUAUGGGAGAGGUAGAGCCGACAGCCAUUGAUAACUGGUGGUCGGCCAGGUCAAGGGGACAGUGUCUGCUUUAGGUAAUUGGCUUGAUGAUAAUCUCAUUUUCAAAGAUCAGGAACACAGGCCUGAGAGUACAUUUGGAGAGGAAGAUGAUUCGGGUUUGCAUCAUGUAGGGUUCGAGGUGUCUAUGGGACACUAUAUGCAGAAGUCCAGUAGGCAAUUGGUUCUGUGGGCCUAGCACUCAGAGGAGAGUGCGAGUCUAAUGACAGAAAAUUGGCAGUCACCAUCGUGUAGAUGGUAAUGGAUGGUAUGAUUUGGGGUGAUUGCUGAGGCAGGAACAUGGGCACAAUGCUGAGGAGUGCAAAUGGCUAAGGGAUGGGACACAGCAGGAACCUGCAAAGGAGCCCAGAAAACAAGAAAUAGGGAGAAAGCCUGGGAACACUGUGAUUCUACGGAAUCACAGAAUUGAAGACAAACAAUGUGAAACUAAGUACAGGCC
This 2150-nucleotide long non-coding RNA is filed under the name Homo sapiens (human). RNAcentral describes it as "HSALNT0336406". The record is from RNAcentral. Lineage: Eukaryota; Metazoa; Chordata; Mammalia; Primates; Hominidae.